RNAcentral lists this transfer RNA (86 nucleotides) under Segatella buccae. RNAcentral describes it as "Prevotella buccae tRNA-Ser(tga)". It matches the Rfam family "tRNA". Rfam says of the family: Transfer RNA (tRNA) molecules are approximately 80 nucleotides in length. Their secondary structure includes four short double-helical elements and three loops (D, anti-codon, and T loops). RNAcentral also lists the same sequence under 9 other names. Lineage: Bacteria; Pseudomonadati; Bacteroidota; Bacteroidia; Bacteroidales; Prevotellaceae. The record is from RNAcentral.
GGAGAGAUGGUAGAGUGGUCGAUUACAACGGUCUUGAAAACCGUCGUACCGAGAGGUACCGGGGGUUCGAAUCCCUCUCUCUCCGC